UCAUGCAAUUAAAAUUGCCUC
Molecule: non-coding RNA, 21 nt
Filed under: Caenorhabditis elegans
Lineage: Eukaryota; Metazoa; Nematoda; Chromadorea; Rhabditida; Rhabditidae
Source: RNAcentral